NCACGUCUUCAGGGCGGGGCGGAAUUCCCCACCGGCGGUAGGCGGCGCGAGCCGCGAGCCCGCGAGCGCCCGGCCUGCAAGGGUCGGGGUCAGCAGAUCUGGUGCGAUGCCAGGGCCGACGGUCACAGUCCGGAUGAAAGAAGACGUGC
This 149-nucleotide non-coding RNA is filed under the name Rubrivivax sp. Its description in RNAcentral is "FMN sequence". It matches the Rfam family "FMN riboswitch aptamer (RFN element)". From Rfam's summary of the family: The RFN element is a highly conserved domain that is found frequently in the 5'-untranslated regions of prokaryotic mRNAs that encode for flavin mononucleotide (FMN) biosynthesis and transport proteins. This element is a metabolite-dependent riboswitch that directly binds FMN in the absence of proteins. In Bacillus subtilis, the riboswitch most likely controls gene expression by causing premature transcription termination within the 5' untranslated region of the ribDEAHT operon and precluding access to the ribosome-binding site of ypaA mRNA. The record is from RNAcentral. Lineage: Bacteria; Pseudomonadati; Pseudomonadota; Betaproteobacteria; Burkholderiales; Sphaerotilaceae.